RNAcentral lists this ribosomal RNA (426 nucleotides) under uncultured bacterium. Its description in RNAcentral is "partial 16S ribosomal RNA". It matches the Rfam family "Bacterial small subunit ribosomal RNA", at positions 354 to 796 of the family's 1533-position model. The record is from RNAcentral.
GUGAGGAAUUUUCCGCAAUGGGCGAAAGCCUGACGGAGCAAUGCCGCGUGAAGGAUGAAGGCCUAUGGGUUGUAAACUUCUUUUCUCAGAAAAGAAUUAUGACGGUAUCUGAGGAAUAAGCAUCGGCUAACUCUGUGCCAGCAGCCGCGGUAAGACAGAGGAUGCAAGCGUUAUCAGGAAUGAUUGGGCGUAAAGCGUCUGUAGGUUGUUUAAAAAGUAUUCUGUCAAAGAUUAGGGCUUAACCCUAGAUAGGCAGAAUAAACUUUUAAGCUAGAGUUUGGUAGAGGCAGAGGGAAUUCCCGGUGGAGCGGUGAAAUGCGUAGAUAUCGGGAGGAACACCAAAGGCGAAGGCACUCUGCUGGGCCAAUACUAACACUGAGAGACGAAAGCGAGGGGAGCAAAUGGGAUUAGAAACCCGGGUAGUCC